This 88-nucleotide transfer RNA is filed under the name Marinilabilia rubra. RNAcentral describes it as "Marinilabilia sp. WTE tRNA-Leu". It matches the Rfam family "tRNA". Rfam says of the family: Transfer RNA (tRNA) molecules are approximately 80 nucleotides in length. Their secondary structure includes four short double-helical elements and three loops (D, anti-codon, and T loops). Further hydrogen bonds mediate the characteristic L-shaped molecular structure. tRNAs have two regions of fundamental functional importance: the anti-codon, which is responsible for specific mRNA codon recognition, and the 3' end, to which the tRNAs corresponding amino acid is attached (by aminoacyl-tRNA synthetases). tRNAs cope with the degeneracy of the genetic code in two manners: having more than one tRNA (with a specific anti-codon) for a particular amino acid; and 'wobble' base-pairing, i.e. permitting non-standard base-pairing at the 3rd anti-codon position. The record is from RNAcentral. Lineage: Bacteria; Pseudomonadati; Bacteroidota; Bacteroidia; Marinilabiliales; Marinilabiliaceae.
GCCCGGAUGGUGGAAUUGGUAGACACGCUGGACUUAAAAUCCAGUGGCCAUUGCGGCUGUGCGGGUUCAAGUCCCGCUCCGGGUACAA